GGUUUGAUCAUGGCUCAGAUUGAACGCUGCGAUGCUUUACACAUGCAAGUCGAACGGCAGCACUGGACUUCGGUCUGGUGGCGAGUGGCGAACGGGUGAGUAAUGUAUCGGAACGCCUUAGUAGCGGGGGAUAACUACGCGAAAGCGUAGCUAAUACCGCAUACCGCCCUUCGGGGAAAGCGGGGACCUUCGGGCCUCGCACCUGAUGAGAGCGGCCGAUAUCGGAUUAGCUAGUUGGUGGGGUAACGGCUCACCGGAAGGCGACGACAUCCAGCUGGUUUGAGAGGAUGACCAGCCACACUGGGACUGAGACACGGCCCAGACUCCUACGGAGGCAGCAGGGGAAUUUUGGACAAUGGGAAACCCUGAUCCAGCCAUCUCAUGCGUGAUGAAGGCCUUCGGGUUGUAAAGCACUUGGCAGGAAAGGAAACGGCACGGAUAAUACCCUGUGCAACUGACGGUACUCUGCAGAAUAAGGCCAACUACGUGCCAGCAGCCGCGGUAAUACGUAGGGGGCGUAAGCGUUAAUCGGAAUUACUGGGCGUAAGCGUGCGCAGGCGGUUCGGAAAAGAUGUGCAGGAAAUCCCAGAGCUUAAUCCUUUAACCGCAUUUUUAACUACCGAGCUAGAGUGUGUCAGAGGGAGGAAUUCGCGUGUAGCAGGAAAUGCGUAGAUAUGCGGAGGAACACCGAUGGCGAAGGCAGCCUCCUGGGAUAUCACCGACGCUCAUGCACGAAAGCGUGGGGAGCAAACAGGAUUAGGAUACCUGGUGUCCACGCCCUAAACGAUGUCAACUAGCCGUUGGGGCCUUCGGGCCUUGCAGCAGCUAACGCGCGUAGUUGGACCGCCUGUGGGGAGUAUACGGUCGCAAGAUUAAAACUCAAAGGAAUUGACGGGACCCGCACAAGCGGUGGAUGAUGUGGAUUAAUUCGAUGCAACGCGAAAAACCUUACCUACCCUUGACAUGUUCAACCUGAAGAGAUUUGGGAGUUUCAGAAGAGAACCGGAACACAGGUAAGUGCUGCAUGGCUGUCGUCAGCUCGUGUCGUGAGAUGUUGGGUUAAGUCCUGCAACGAGCGCAACCCUUGUCAUUAUUGCUACGAAAGGCACUCCCGACGAGACUGCCGGUGACAAACCGGAGGAAGGUGGGGAUGACGUCAAGUCCUCAUGGCCCUUGCGGUAGGGCUUCACACGUCAUACAAUGGUCGGGACAGAGGGUCGCCAACCUGCGAGGGGGAGCCAAUCCCAGAACCCGACUGUAGUCCGGAUCGCAGUCUGCAACUCGACUGCGUGAAGUCGGAAUCGCCAGUAAUCGCGGAUCAGCAUGUCGCGGUGAAUACGUUCCCGGGUCUUGCGCCACACCGCCCGUCACACCAUGGGAGUGGGUUUUACCAGAAGUAGUUAGCCUAACCGUAAGGAGUGGCGAUUACCACGGGGAGGAUCUUAUGACUGGGGUGAAGUCGUAACAAGGUAG
This 1473-nucleotide ribosomal RNA is filed under the name uncultured Bordetella sp. RNAcentral describes it as "partial 16S-23S ribosomal RNA intergenic spacer". It matches the Rfam family "Bacterial small subunit ribosomal RNA". Lineage: Bacteria; Pseudomonadati; Pseudomonadota; Betaproteobacteria; Burkholderiales; Alcaligenaceae. The record is from RNAcentral.